Molecule: small nucleolar RNA, 87 nt
Organism: Vombatus ursinus (common wombat)
Lineage: Eukaryota; Metazoa; Chordata; Mammalia; Diprotodontia; Vombatidae
Source: Ensembl
CAGAACAGAGGGGUAGAGCACUCUUCUCUCUUAAACCCGGGACAGACGAUCCAGCCUCUGUUCCGGAUCCUGUCGUGAGAGACAGUC